This 464-nucleotide ribosomal RNA is filed under the name uncultured bacterium. Its description in RNAcentral is "partial 16S ribosomal RNA". It matches the Rfam family "Bacterial small subunit ribosomal RNA", at positions 28 to 507 of the family's 1533-position model. The record is from RNAcentral.
GACGAACGCUGGCGGCGUGCUUAACACAUGCAAGUCGAACGGAAAGGCCCUGCUUGCAGGGUACUCGAGUGGCGAACGGGUGAGUAACACGUGGGUGAUCUGCCCUGCACUUCGGGAUAAGCCUGGGAAACUGGGUCUAAUACCGGAUAGGAGCCAUUUUUAGUGUGAUGGUUGGAAAGUUUUUUCGGUGUAGGAUGAGCUCGCGGCCUAUCAGCUUGUUGGUGGGGUAAUGGCCUACCAAGGCGGGGACGGGUAGCCGGCCUGGGAGGGUGGACGGCCACAUUGGGACUGAGAUACGGCCCAGACUCCAACGGGAGGCAGCGGUGGGGAAUAUUGCACAAUGGGCGCAAGCCUGAUGCAGCGACGCCGCGUGGGGGAUGACGGCCUUCGGGUGGUAAACGCCUUUCGCUAGGGACGAAGCUUGUGUGACGGUACCUAGAAAAGAAGCACCGGCUAACUACGUG